AUUGAACGCUGGCGGCAUGCUUUACACAUGCAAGUCGAACGGCAGCGCGGGCUUCGGCCUGGCGGCGAGUGGCGAACGGGGGAGUAAUGCAUCGGAACGUGCCCAGUAGUGGGGGAUAGCCCGGCGAAAGCCGGAUUAAUACCGCAUACGACCUGAGGGUGAAAGCGGGGGACCGAAAGGCCUCGCGCUAUAGGAGCGGCCGAUGUCGGAUUAGCUAGUUGGUGGGGUAAAGGCUUACCAAGGCGACGAUCCGUAGCUGGUCUGAGAGGACGACCAGCCACCCUGGGACUGAGCCACGGCCCAGACUCCUACGUGAGGCAGCAGUGGGCAAUUUUGGACAAUGGGGGCAACCCUGCUCCAGCCGUGCCGCGUGCGGGAAGAAGGCCUUCGGGUUGUAAACCGCUUUUGUUCGGGAAGAAAUCCUCUGGGCUAAUACCCCGGGGGGAUGACGGUACCGGAAGAAUAAGCACCGGCUAACUACGUG
This 484-nucleotide ribosomal RNA is filed under the name uncultured bacterium. Its description in RNAcentral is "partial 16S ribosomal RNA". It matches the Rfam family "Bacterial small subunit ribosomal RNA", at positions 28 to 507 of the family's 1533-position model. The record is from RNAcentral.